RNAcentral lists this ribosomal RNA (1071 nucleotides) under Acinetobacter haemolyticus. RNAcentral's name for it is "bacterial SSU rRNA". It matches the Rfam family "Bacterial small subunit ribosomal RNA", at positions 464 to 1533 of the family's 1533-position model. Lineage: Bacteria; Pseudomonadati; Pseudomonadota; Gammaproteobacteria; Moraxellales; Moraxellaceae. The record is from RNAcentral.
GAUAGUGGACGUUACUCGCAGAAUAAGCACCGGCUAACUCUGUGCCAGCAGCCGCGGUAAUACAGAGGGUGCGAGCGUUAAUCGGAUUUACUGGGCGUAAAGCGUGCGUAGGCGGCUGAUUAAGUCGGAUGUGAAAUCCCUGAGCUUAACUUAGGAAUUGCAUUCGAUACUGGUCAGCUAGAGUAUGGGAGAGGAUGGUAGAAUUCCAGGUGUAGCGGUGAAAUGCGUAGAGAUCUGGAGGAAUACCGAUGGCGAAGGCAGCCAUCUGGCCUAAUACUGACGCUGAGGUACGAAAGCAUGGGGAGCAAACAGGAUUAGAUACCCUGGUAGUCCAUGCCGUAAACGAUGUCUACUAGCCGUUGGGGCCUUUGAGGCUUUAGUGGCGCAGCUAACGCGAUAAGUAGACCGCCUGGGGAGUACGGUCGCAAGACUAAAACUCAAAUGAAUUGACGGGGGCCCGCACAAGCGGUGGAGCAUGUGGUUUAAUUCGAUGCAACGCGAAGAACCUUACCUGGUCUUGACAUAGUAAGAACUUUCCAGAGAUGGAUUGGUGCCUUCGGGAACUUACAUACAGGUGCUGCAUGGCUGUCGUCAGCUCGUGUCGUGAGAUGUUGGGUUAAGUCCCGCAACGAGCGCAACCCUUUUCCUUAUUUGCCAGCGGGUUAAGCCGGGAACUUUAAGGAUACUGCCAGUGACAAACUGGAGGAAGGCGGGGACGACGUCAAGUCAUCAUGGCCCUUACGACCAGGGCUACACACGUGCUACAAUGGUCGGUACAAAGGGUUGCUACCUAGCGAUAGGAUGCUAAUCUCAAAAAGCCGAUCGUAGUCCGGAUUGGAGUCUGCAACUCGACUCCAUGAAGUCGGAAUCGCUAGUAAUCGCGGAUCAGAAUGCCGCGGUGAAUACGUUCCCGGGCCUUGUACACACCGCCCGUCACACCAUGGGAGUUUGUUGCACCAGAAGUAGGUAGUCUAACCGUAAGGAGGACGCUUACCACGGUGUGGCCGAUGACUGGGGUGAAGUCGUAACAAGGUAGCCGUAGGGGAACCUGCGGCUGGAUCACCUCCUUAA